AUUGAACGCUGGCGGCAGGCCUAACACAUGCAAGUCGAGCGGAUGAAGGGAGCUUGCUCCUGGAUUCAGCGGCGGACGGGUGAGUAAUGCCUAGGAAUCUGCCUGGUAGUGGGGGAUAACGUCCGGAAACGGGCGCUAAUACCGCAUACGUCCUGAGGGAGAAAGUGGGGGAUCUUCGGACCUCACGCUAUCAGAUGAGCCUAGGUCGGAUUAGCUAGUUGGUGGGGUAAAGGCCUACCAAGGCGACGAUCCGUAACUGGUCUGAGAGGAUGAUCAGUCACACUGGACUUGAAACCCGGACCAGCCCCCUCCGGGAGCCACCGUGGGGAAAUUUUGAACAAUGGGCAAAACCUUACUCCACCCAUGCGCCUGGUGUAAAGAAGUUUUUCUAUUUGUAAAACUUUUUAAGUUGGAAGAAAGAGAAGUAAUUUAAUACCUUGUUGUUUUGAGCUUCCCAAAAAAAAAGACCCCGACUAACUUCGUC
RNAcentral lists this ribosomal RNA (484 nucleotides) under uncultured bacterium. RNAcentral describes it as "partial 16S ribosomal RNA". It matches the Rfam family "Bacterial small subunit ribosomal RNA", at positions 30 to 507 of the family's 1533-position model. The record is from RNAcentral.